RNAcentral lists this ribosomal RNA (115 nucleotides) under Paramormyrops kingsleyae. Lineage: Eukaryota; Metazoa; Chordata; Actinopteri; Osteoglossiformes; Mormyridae. The record is from RNAcentral.
UAGAGCAGCCAUACCGCAUGUAGUUCAGACUAGGAUCCAUCUGAAGCUAAGCCGGUUUGGGCCUGGCCAGUAGUUGGGUUGGAAACCAACUAGAAAAGCAGAGUUGCUGCUGGAA